AGCUCCAAUAGCGUAUAUUAAAGUUGUUGCGGUUAAAAAGCUCGUAGUUGGAUCUGCGGCCUCGGAUGCCGGUCGCCCACAGGGUUGAACUGGUUUUCCAGGCCUACCUUGCUGGUUUUCCUUUGGUGCUCUUAAUCGAGUGCCCUAGGUAACCAGUACUUUUACUUUGAACAAAUUAGAGUGCUCAACGCAGGCAUGUUGUCUGAAUAUAUCAGCAUGGGAUAAUGGAAUAGGACCUUGGUUCUAUUUUGUUGGUUUUCGGAACGCGAGGUAAUGAUUAAGAGGAACAGACGGGGGCAUUCGUACUGCUACGUUAGAGGUGAAAUUCUUGGAUCGUAGCAUGACGGACAACUGCGAAAGCAUUUGCCAAGAAUGUUUUCAUUAAUCAAGAACGAAAGUA
This 400-nucleotide ribosomal RNA is filed under the name phytoplankton environmental sample. Its description in RNAcentral is "partial small subunit ribosomal RNA". It matches the Rfam family "Eukaryotic small subunit ribosomal RNA", at positions 587 to 991 of the family's 1831-position model. The record is from RNAcentral.